UACGUAGGGUGCGAGCGUUAAUCGGAAUUACUGGGCGUAAAGCGUGCGCAGGCGGUUCGCCAAGUCCGGUGUGAAAUCCCCGGGCUUAACCUGGGAAUUGCGCUUGAAACUAGCGGGCUUGAGUGUGGCAGAGGGGGGUGGAAUUCCACGUGUAGCAGUGAAAUGCGUAGAGAUGUGGAGGAACACCGAUGGCGAAGGCAGCCCCCUGGGUCAACACUGACGCUCAUGCACGAAAGCGUGGGGAGCAAACAGG
RNAcentral lists this ribosomal RNA (253 nucleotides) under uncultured bacterium. RNAcentral describes it as "partial 16S ribosomal RNA". It matches the Rfam family "Bacterial small subunit ribosomal RNA", at positions 524 to 776 of the family's 1533-position model. The record is from RNAcentral.